GCAUAACGCGAAGAACCUUACCAGGCCUUGACAUCCAAUGAACUUUCCAGAGAUGCUUUGGUGCCUUCGGGAACUCUGAGACAGGUGCUGCAUGGCUGUCGUCAGCUCGUGUUGUGAAAUGUUGGGUUAAGUCCCGCAACGAGCGCAACCCUUAUCCUUUGUUGCCAGCGGUUAGGCCGGGAACUCAAAGGAGACUGCCAGUGAUAAACUGGAGGAAGGUGGGGAUGACGUCAAGUCAUCAUGGCCCUUACGAGUAGGGCUACACACGUGCUACAAUGGCGCAUACAAAGAGAAGCGACCUCGCGAGAGCAAGCGGACCUCAUAAAGUGCGUCGUAGUCCGGAUUGGAGUCUGCAACUCGACUCCAUGAAGUCGGAAUCGCUAGUAAUCGUAGAUCAGAAUGCUACGGUGAAUACGUUCCCGGGUCUUGUACACACCG
This 438-nucleotide ribosomal RNA is filed under the name uncultured bacterium. Its description in RNAcentral is "bacterial SSU rRNA". It matches the Rfam family "Bacterial small subunit ribosomal RNA", at positions 954 to 1392 of the family's 1533-position model. The record is from RNAcentral.